CGUCCUACGGGAGGCAGCAGUAGGGAAUUUUCGUCAAUGGGCGCAAGCCUGAACGAGCAAUGCCGCGUGAGUGAGGAAGGUCUUCGGAUCGUAAAGCUCUGUUGCGGGGGAAAAAGGACAGGGAGAGGAAAUGCUUUCUGUUUGAUGGUAUCCCGCCAGAAAGUCACGGCUAACUACGUGCCAGCAGCCGCGGUAAUACGUAGGUGGCGAGCGUUAUCCGGAUUGAUUGGGCGUAAAGGGUGCGCAGGCGGCAUGUCAAGUCUGAUGUGAAAGGGUCGGGCUUAAC
Molecule: ribosomal RNA, 286 nt
Filed under: uncultured bacterium
Lineage: Bacteria
Description: partial 16S ribosomal RNA
Rfam family: Bacterial small subunit ribosomal RNA
Source: RNAcentral